UGGUGUGCGUGGAAGGAAAGGGUGAGGGCACAGGGACCGGAGCAGAGCAGUGGUAACGGAGCCAGAGGAUCAGGAUGCUAGAAGAGGAGCCACCUUGCCAAGGCUUCAGGCACUGAAGACAAGGUGAAGAGAUGGCGGAGGAGGAAAUAGGCAGCUGUCUUGUGGCUUCCCAAUUUGUGUGGCGUGAGGCCUCUGCCCCUGUGACGUCACCUGUCUGGAGCCUGCGGAGCUGUUGCGUGUGUAUCUUUGCAGGUCAUGCUGUGUGUACAGUGGUCACUGUGAUACAUCACGUUUUGAUUGCCUGUGAAUAUCCAGCUCCGGGAGGCCGCAGGCAAGCCUUUGAGAGCUCGGGUAAAGCCUGUAUGCAUCUUGUGGGGGAAGAGGGAUGCAGGGAGUUUUGUGCCAUGCUGAUGGAAGAUGAAGCAACGCAAUGCUUAAAGGUGAUGCUAAUGUUUGGACCGUGAGCGGAGGCGAGGCGAGGUAGAGGUAAAGCGACCGGGAACCACAAUGAUUUAGGAGGCGGAGGAUGCAGGUGACUGCACACCGACGGUGACUUCUGGGUCACCUGGCAGGAGG
This is a long non-coding RNA of Alligator sinensis (Chinese alligator), 576 nucleotides long. RefSeq lists it as uncharacterized. NCBI's taxonomy places the organism in Eukaryota, Metazoa, Chordata, Crocodylia, Alligatoridae. The record is from RefSeq and is a predicted model, not a curated record. The transcript is spliced from 5 exons.